Molecule: ribosomal RNA, 292 nt
Filed under: uncultured bacterium
Lineage: Bacteria
Description: partial 16S ribosomal RNA
Rfam family: Bacterial small subunit ribosomal RNA
Source: RNAcentral
GUGUCAGCAGCCGCGGUAAUACGUAGGGUGCGAGCGUUGCCCGGAUUUAUUGGGCGUAAAGGGCGCGUAGGCGGUGAGAUGCGUCCGUUGUGAAAUCGCCCGGCUCAACUGGGCGGGGUCAGCGGAUACGGUCUCACUUGAGCAAGCUAGGGGGCAAUGGAAUUCCCGGUGUAGUGGUGGAAUGCGUAGAUAUCGGGAGGAACACCAGUGGCGAAGGCGGUUGCCUGGGGCUUUGCUGACGCUGAGGCGCGAAAGCGUGGGGAGCGAUCCGGAUUAGAUACCCGGGUAGUCC